This 254-nucleotide ribosomal RNA is filed under the name uncultured bacterium. RNAcentral describes it as "partial 16S ribosomal RNA". It matches the Rfam family "Bacterial small subunit ribosomal RNA", at positions 524 to 776 of the family's 1533-position model. The record is from RNAcentral.
UACGUAGGGUGCAAGCGUUAUCCGGAAUUAUUGGGCGUAAAGAGCUCGUAGGCGGUCUGUCGCGUCGGCUGUGAAAACUCGGGGCUCAACCCCGAGCCUGCAGUCGAUACGGGCAGACUAGAGUGCUGUAGGGGAGACUGGAAUUCCUGGUGUAGCGGUGAAAUGCGCAGAUAUCAGGAGGAACACCGGUGGCGAAGGCGGGUCUCUGGGCAGUAACUGACGCUGAGGAGCGAAAGCGUGGGGGAGCGAACAGG